RNAcentral lists this ribosomal RNA (274 nucleotides) under uncultured bacterium. RNAcentral describes it as "partial 16S ribosomal RNA". It matches the Rfam family "Bacterial small subunit ribosomal RNA", at positions 523 to 796 of the family's 1533-position model. The record is from RNAcentral.
CUACGGAGGGUGCAAGCGUUGUUCGGAAUCACUGGGCGUAAAGGGCGCGCAGGCGGUUUGGUAAGUCAGAUGUGAAAGCCCACGGCUCAACCGUGGAAGUGCAUUUGAAACUGUCAGACUUGAGUACUAGAGGGGAAAGUGGAAUUCCCGGUGUAGAGGUGAAAUUCGUAGAUAUCGGGAGGAAUACCGGUGGCGAAGGCGACUUUCUGGCUAGAUACUGACGCUGAGGCGCGAAAGCGUGGGGAGCAAACAGGAUUAGAAACCCUAGUAGUCC